Caulobacteraceae bacterium is the source of this 98-nucleotide non-coding RNA. It matches the Rfam family "Bacterial small signal recognition particle RNA". From Rfam's summary of the family: The signal recognition particle (SRP) is a universally conserved ribonucleoprotein involved in the co-translational targeting of proteins to membranes. NCBI's taxonomy places the organism in Bacteria, Pseudomonadati, Pseudomonadota, Alphaproteobacteria, Caulobacterales, Caulobacteraceae. The record is from Rfam.
CGCAGGCAGGCGGCGGACGGCCGCCCCGCCAACCCGGUCAGAUCCGGAAGGAAGCAGCCGUAACGGGUUGCGUACGGGUCGCUGUCCUGUCUGCACUU